Molecule: ribosomal RNA, 440 nt
Filed under: uncultured bacterium
Lineage: Bacteria
Description: partial 16S ribosomal RNA
Rfam family: Bacterial small subunit ribosomal RNA
Source: RNAcentral
CCUACGGGAGGCAGCAGUGGGGGAUAUUGCACAAUGGGGGGAACCCUGAUGCAGCGACGCCGCGUGGGCGAUGGAGUGCUUCGGCAUGUAAAGCCCUAUCAGCCGGGAAGAAAAUGACGGUACCUGACUAAGAAGCCCCGGCCAAAUACGUGCCAGCAGCCGCGGGAAUACGUAUGGGGCAAGCGUUAUCCGGAUUUACCGGGGGUAAAGGGAGCGUAGGCGGCCUGGCAAGCCUGAUGUGAAAUACCGGGGCCCAACCCCGGGGCUGCAUUGGGAACUGCCAGGCUGGAGGGCCGGUGGGGCAGGCGGAAUUCCGAGUGGAGCGGUGGAAUGCGUAGAUAUUAGGGGGAACACCAGUGGCGAAGGCGGCCUGCUGGACGGUGACUGACGCUGAGGCUCGAAAGCGUGGGGAGCAAACAGGAUUAGAUACCCCUGUAGUC